RNAcentral lists this non-coding RNA (26 nucleotides) under Homo sapiens (human). The record is from RNAcentral. Lineage: Eukaryota; Metazoa; Chordata; Mammalia; Primates; Hominidae.
UGAUGCCAACUACAAGUGAACUAGCU